UGCAGCUGUGAGAGCUUCAUUAUUUGCUUUUGAGCUGCAGCAUUCUGAGGGAGGAGACGCAAGAGUGGAGGGGGUGGGGGGCGAGGACAACUAGGGACAGUUGGACCGGGAGCCAAAUUCCCCACUGCUGAACCUAAUUACACACAGGCCACAGAAACCGACAUCCAAACUGGAAGUCUGUGGAGUCUGCAGGUCUGGAAAAACUGGAGGGCGACAACCAGGAAGCCAGCCCGUGACUGGACUCUCUUCUGGCCAUAUAUAGAACUAACAAUGUAAGCCCUGGAAUCUUGGGAUUGGAGGAAAUCACAUGGGCCACUGAGUCCUCUCACCAGGUACUUUCAGAUGCCAACAGAUGCCAACCCACCAAGAGAUGUUCUGGAAGGUAUCAUUCAUCCUGCAUCCAAAGACACAGAGAGCACUGGUCCAGGAGCCAGAAUACCGUGGUUCUGGUUCAGUUACGCAACUACUGUGGGCAAGCAGACUCUUCAAGCCCUGGAUUCUCAGCUACUGUUCCCUCCUAACAAAUGUGGGUUAAAUUAAAGAAUACAUUUGAAACGUCUUUAUAAAC
RNAcentral lists this long non-coding RNA (568 nucleotides) under Sus scrofa (pig). RNAcentral's name for it is "lncRNA (ENSSSCG00050010253.1)". The record is from RNAcentral. Lineage: Eukaryota; Metazoa; Chordata; Mammalia; Artiodactyla; Suidae.